This is a non-coding RNA of Oryza barthii, 187 nucleotides long. NCBI's taxonomy places the organism in Eukaryota, Viridiplantae, Streptophyta, Magnoliopsida, Poales, Poaceae. The record is from Rfam.
UUUAACCAUGAGCUUUUGUUUUCGUGUCCAACUUUAAUCGUCCGUCUUAUAUAAUUUUUUUACGGUUUGUAUUUUUAUUGUUAUUAGAUGAUAAAAUAUGAAUAUUACUUUACACAUGACUUUUUUUUAACUUUUAAAAAAUCAAGAUGAUUAAAGUUUGACAUGAAAACUGAUGACCACACUUAAA